This 882-nucleotide ribosomal RNA is filed under the name Triticum aestivum (bread wheat). Its description in RNAcentral is "partial small subunit ribosomal RNA". The record is from RNAcentral. Lineage: Eukaryota; Viridiplantae; Streptophyta; Magnoliopsida; Poales; Poaceae.
AUGUCUUCCUCCGGCUCCUCCCAGAUCGGCCUCAACCACCAGGUCACGGAGAAGCUCACCCGUACGAACUACGUACUGUGGCGCGUCCAGAUCACGCCGCAGCUAAGGGGAGCUGGCGUCUUCGGCUAUGCCGACGGCAGCACGCCGGAGCCAGCCUGCUUCCUUCCUGGCAAGGACAAGGACGGCAAGGACUCCACCGAGCCCAACCCUCUCCACCCAAUCUGGGUCCGGGAGGAUCAACAAGUGCUCGGGUACCUGCUCAACAAUCUCUCCAAAGAGGUGUUGGUGCAGGUGACCGCGAUCACCACGACGCACGCGCUCUGGACAACCCUGGCGGCCAUGUUCUCCUCACAGUCGCUUAACCGCAUCAACAACAUCCGCACGGCUCUGCUUCAUGCGCAGAAGGGAACUCAGCCGGUCGCCACCUUCUUCGCCCACAUGCACGGCCUCGUCGAUGAACUCGCCGCGGCCGGCAAACCGCUCCAAGACGACGAGGUCGUCUCCUACAUCAUCCACGCGCUGGACAUGGAGUACCAGCCUCUGGUGUCGGCCCUCGACGCUCGCACCUCCCCCGUCACCCUGGAUGAGUUGUUCACCAUGCUCAGCAACUUCAAUCGGCGCAUGGCACUCUACCAGGGGUCGGGUGGCUUCAAGUCGUCCGCGAACGCCGCCUCUCGUGGCCGCGGCGGCCGCCGCGGCGGCCCUCCGCACGGCACGGCCCGAUCUGGUGGCGGCGGCAACUCCUCCAACCCACGCGCCGGACAUUCCCCCUCCACCAACUCCAACGGACGCGGCGGUGGUGGUGGCCGCGGCUCCAACGGAGCGCGCCUAGAUCUGCGGCAAGCUCGGGUACAGCGCUCGGGACUGCUGGUACCGCUAUGA